CCCUAUGGGGUGCAGCAGGAAAUUGCCGACCAGCUUACAGUUGCGGUACGUACAAGGACAAGGGCCAGGGCAUUUGUUCAGCAGCAAUCGACUUUCGGACAGAGACGAAUGGGGAUGCCGGUGCAGUAUGUACUUCAGGCCACAUCGAUUGAGAAAUUAAGGGAAGUGAUACCUGAAUUUAUGAGGAAGGUAAGUGAAAACGACGUACUCCAGAUGGCCGAUGUGAACCUUAAAUUCACAAAACCUGAACUCAGAAUUCACAUAAACAGGGAUAAGGCAAUAACGCUUGGAGUAUCAACACAGAGUAUCGGGCAGACACUGCAGCUCGCACUCAGUGGCCAGCGUUUCGGAUAUUUUUUCAUGAACGGGAAACAGUAUCAGAUACUGGGAGAGC
Molecule: ribosomal RNA, 394 nt
Filed under: uncultured prokaryote
Description: partial 16S ribosomal RNA
Source: RNAcentral